This is a non-coding RNA of Pelobates cultripes (western spadefoot toad), 340 nucleotides long. The record is from the annotation of a GenBank genome assembly. NCBI's taxonomy places the organism in Eukaryota, Metazoa, Chordata, Amphibia, Anura, Pelobatidae.
AAAAAAAGAAAGCCACAUACCUCUGAGAAAUGAGAUGAAUGAGUUUCUCUCUUAUAGGCUGACCAGGACUCCCCUGCACCACAAUUCCAUGUGGACAAUGAUUCUGUUUGAUGUAUUUGAGCACUUGGUACAUGUUGGCAUCAGACUUGCCUGUUUAACCCCAUUGACCAUUUAUUUAUGUGCUAAUAAGUAACGUGUAAUUAAUCUGGUGUGUUCCAAACAGACAUUUGAGUGUUUCUUUAGGAUUUGGUUCGAAAAUCUUACAUUAUGGGUGUAAUAGAAACUUCUAUUUCUUGUUAUCGAUUUGGCUAGGUUAUUUUACUGUGCUUGUAAUUUACCG